GGAGAGAUGGCAGAGUGGUCGAUUGCGGCGGUCUUGAAAACCGUUGUGCCGCGAGGCACCCGGGGUUCGAAUCCCUGUCUCUCCG
RNAcentral lists this transfer RNA (85 nucleotides) under Gabonibacter chumensis. RNAcentral's name for it is "tRNA-Ser". It matches the Rfam family "tRNA". From Rfam's summary of the family: Transfer RNA (tRNA) molecules are approximately 80 nucleotides in length. Their secondary structure includes four short double-helical elements and three loops (D, anti-codon, and T loops). Further hydrogen bonds mediate the characteristic L-shaped molecular structure. tRNAs have two regions of fundamental functional importance: the anti-codon, which is responsible for specific mRNA codon recognition, and the 3' end, to which the tRNAs corresponding amino acid is attached (by aminoacyl-tRNA synthetases). tRNAs cope with the degeneracy of the genetic code in two manners: having more than one tRNA (with a specific anti-codon) for a particular amino acid; and 'wobble' base-pairing, i.e. permitting non-standard base-pairing at the 3rd anti-codon position. Lineage: Bacteria; Pseudomonadati; Bacteroidota; Bacteroidia; Bacteroidales; Porphyromonadaceae. The record is from RNAcentral.